This 267-nucleotide ribosomal RNA is filed under the name uncultured bacterium. RNAcentral's name for it is "partial 16S ribosomal RNA". It matches the Rfam family "Bacterial small subunit ribosomal RNA", at positions 524 to 787 of the family's 1533-position model. The record is from RNAcentral.
GACGAACCGUGCGAACGUUGUUCGGAAUCACUGGGCGUAAAGCGCACGUAGGCGGCUUGUUAAGUCAGGGGUGAAAUCCUGGAGCUCAACUCCAGAACUGCCUUUGAUACUGGCGAGCUUGAGUUCGGGAGAGGUGAGUGGAACUGCGAGUGUAGAGGUGAAAUUCGUAGAUAUUCGCAAGAACACCAGUGGCGAAGGCGGCUCACUGGCCCGAUACUGACGCUGAGGUGCGAAAGCGUGGGGGAGCAAACAGGGAUUAAGAAACCC